ACUUUCCACGUGAACUGUUUGUAUCCGAUUCGCGCCGGGUUUCGAGCGUGUUUGUGUUUGUUGCCGUGUAAUGCGGCGAUCGACGAAACAUUGCGCGAAGCCUAGGCUGAUCGAAGGUCGUUGCGCAAGUAUUGUCUAAUAUGCGUGCUUCGGCUGACUUAUUCUUUCAAACCCCUUACUUUAACAACUGAUCAAUACUGUGAGGACGAAAGUCUUUGCUUUAAAACUAGAUAACAACUUUCAGCAGUGGAUGUCUAGGCUCGCACAUCGAUGAAGAACGCUGCGAACUGCGAUACGUAAUGCGAAUUGCAGAAUUCAGUGAGUCAUCGAAAUUUUGAACGCAUAUUGCACUUUCGGGUUAUACCUGGAAGUAUGUCUGUAUCAGUGUCCGUACAUCAACCUUGCCUCUCUUUGUCGGUGUAGUCCGGCGUGGAGCAUGUGCAGACGUGAGGUGUCUCGCGGCGUGUGUGUGUGCGUAUUGCGAAAUACGCAUCGACCUGCUGCGAGUCCCUUUAAAACGACACGAUCUUUCUAUUUGCUUUCUACGGAGCGCGUAUCUCGAACGCGGCGGUCCUCGGAUCGCUCGCAGUCGACAGCGACUUCAGCGGAGACAUAUGGGAGAAACCACUAUUCGCGGUACGUUAGGCUUCGGCUCGACAAUGUUGCGUUUUAGUGUGUGGAUUCCGUCUUCGCUUUGAGGUGUACUGUUCGGUUGUGGGCUUGAACCUUGUGUAUCGCUUUUGUUAGUAGAGGUGUGUCGAUUUUUCUGUGGUUUGAUUCCGCACGUUAUGUGUGGGUAGAGAGACUCCAUUUGGGAAACAUUGUACUGCGCGUACGCUUUCGGGCGUGUGUGUGUGUAUCUCAAUUGG
RNAcentral lists this ribosomal RNA (869 nucleotides) under Globisporangium segnitium. RNAcentral describes it as "eukaryotic LSU rRNA". The stretch from base 236 to 390 matches the Rfam family "5.8S ribosomal RNA". The record is from RNAcentral. Lineage: Eukaryota; Oomycota; Peronosporomycetes; Pythiales; Pythiaceae.